Molecule: ribosomal RNA, 255 nt
Filed under: uncultured bacterium
Lineage: Bacteria
Description: partial 16S ribosomal RNA
Rfam family: Bacterial small subunit ribosomal RNA
Source: RNAcentral
UACGGGGGGAGCAAGCGUUGUUCGGAUUUACUGGGCGUAAAGGGCGCGUAGGCGGCCAGCACAAGUCAGUUGUGAAAUCUCCGAGCUUAACUCGGAAAGGUCAACUGAUACUGUGCGGCUAGAGUGCGGAAGGGGCAACUGGAAUUCUUGGUGUAGCGGUGAAAUGCGCAGAUAUCAGGAGGAACACCGGUGGCGAAGGCGGGUCUCUGGGCAGUAACUGACGCUGGAGGAGCGAAAGCGUGGGGAGCGAACAGG